This 253-nucleotide ribosomal RNA is filed under the name uncultured bacterium. RNAcentral describes it as "partial 16S ribosomal RNA". It matches the Rfam family "Bacterial small subunit ribosomal RNA", at positions 524 to 776 of the family's 1533-position model. The record is from RNAcentral.
UACGUAGGGUGCGAGCGUUGUCCGAAUUAUUGGGCGUAAAGAGCUCGUAGGCGGUCUGUCGCGUCGAUCGUGAAAACUUGGGGCUUAACCCUGAGCUUGCGGUCGAUACGGGCAUGACUGGAGUUCGGCAGGGGAGACUGGAAUUCCUGGUGUAGCGGUGAAAUGCGCAGAUAUCAGGAGGAACACCGGUGGCGAAGGCGGGUCUCUGGGCCGAUACUGACGCUGAGGAGCGAAAGCGUGGGGAGCGAACAGG